AGCGCCUCCGCAAAAGGACCAUGUGGCUAAAUCAACCAUAAAUGCCGAACUACAUUGCCCGGAGCGAGGGCUCCACAAAGGACCACGAGGCGUGGCAUCCAUGAUCAUUGGACUUCUGUGUAAAAGUUAAUCUGAUGCUACUAUUUAAGCAAAGACCGACACCUUGAAUCCCUCAUUGAGUGCCUCAGCAUAUACUUCUUUUGAGCUCUGAUUUUGAAGAUGUCGACAAGCAGGAAGCAAUGUUCUAUCGCGGUGUUGCUGCUGCUAGUGCUCGUCCAACUCAUCGGUGCUCUCGCUCGACCUCCAUGCGAUUAUCUUCGUCCAGGAACCUGUCACUAUAACAAACCAUGAGGUGAAGCUGGAAAAUUGUGUGGAUGCUGCUUCGUUGGGUUAUAUUGCCUUAUUGGAUUAUUCGGUUUCUUUAUAGAAAUAUCCGUACUGUUCAGUUUGUUGGCAAUCUAAAAUAUGUAAAGUUUAAAAUCUCUCUAGGGUGCUUUUUGACGGAAUUCUGAAUCCAUUGUUAAUUUUGGUGACCAGUAUUUCCUAGUACAAACGUUUACUUCUAUGGGACA
Long non-coding RNA from Triticum urartu, 572 nucleotides. RefSeq lists it as uncharacterized. The record is from RefSeq and is a predicted model, not a curated record. NCBI's taxonomy places the organism in Eukaryota, Viridiplantae, Streptophyta, Magnoliopsida, Poales, Poaceae.